RNAcentral lists this ribosomal RNA (460 nucleotides) under uncultured bacterium. RNAcentral describes it as "partial 16S ribosomal RNA". It matches the Rfam family "Bacterial small subunit ribosomal RNA", at positions 338 to 795 of the family's 1533-position model. The record is from RNAcentral.
CCUACGGGAGACAGCAGUGAGGAAUAUUGGUCAAUGGACGAGAGUCUGAACCAGCCAAGUAGCGUGAAGGAUGACUGCCCUAUGGGUUGUAAACUUCUUUUAUAUGGGAAUAAAAUGUUCCACGUGUGGGAUUUUGUAUGUACCAUAUGAAUAAGGAUCGGCUAACUCCGUGCCAGCAGCCGCGGUAAUACGGAGGAUCCGAGCGUUAUCCGGAUUUAUUGGGUUUAAAGGGAGCGUAGGUGGAUUGUUAAGUCAGUUGUGAAAGUUUGCGGCUCAACCGUAAAAUUGCAGUUGAAACUGGCAGUCUUGAGUACAGUAGAGGUGGGCGGAAUUCGGGGUGUAGCGGUGAAAUGCUUAGAUAUCACGAAGAACUCCGAUUGCGAAGGCAGUUCACUGGACUGCAACUGACACUGAGGCUCGAAAGUGUGGGUAUCAAACAGGAUUAGAUACCCCUGUAGUC